UUUUCUUCUCUGUUUUGUUUCUCUGUUUAUUUGAUAUUUGAAAGUAGAAAAAGAAAAAUGUCAUCCUGUUUAGCUGGUGGUAGAGCAGCUUAUAAAUUAGAUUUAGAGAUUAUAAAGUCUCCAUCUACUUCGUGGAUCUCCCAAUCAUCUUCGCCAUCUUCAACAUUAUCUGAAUCGAGCAAUUCUCCCAUUGCAAUCUCUACUAGAAAACCUCGAACACCUCG
This 224-nucleotide unclassified non-coding RNA is filed under the name Hevea brasiliensis (rubber tree). Lineage: Eukaryota; Viridiplantae; Streptophyta; Magnoliopsida; Malpighiales; Euphorbiaceae. The record is from RNAcentral.